RNAcentral lists this ribosomal RNA (254 nucleotides) under uncultured bacterium. RNAcentral's name for it is "partial 16S ribosomal RNA". It matches the Rfam family "Bacterial small subunit ribosomal RNA", at positions 524 to 776 of the family's 1533-position model. The record is from RNAcentral.
UACGAAGGGUGCAAGCGUUACUCGGAAUUACUGGGCGUAAAGCGUGCGUAGGUGGUUCGUUAAGUCUGAUGUGAAAGCCCUGGGCUCAACCUGGGAAUGGCAUUGGAUACUGGCGACCUAGAGUGCGGUAGAGGGUGGCGGAAUUCCAGGUGUAGCGGUGAAAUGCGUAGAUAUCUGGAGGAACACCGGUGGCGAAGGCGGCAUCCUGGACCAACACUGACGCUGAGUGAGCGAAAGCCAGGGGAGCAAACGGG